Molecule: ribosomal RNA, 580 nt
Filed under: Anabaena sp. RA36
Lineage: Bacteria; Bacillati; Cyanobacteriota; Cyanophyceae; Nostocales; Nostocaceae
Description: bacterial SSU rRNA
Rfam family: Bacterial small subunit ribosomal RNA
Source: RNAcentral
UCUAGGUCGGGGACAACCACUGGAAACGGUGGCUAAUACCGGAUGUGCCGAAAGGUGAAAGGCUUGCUGCCUAGAGAUGAGCUCGCGUCUGAUUAGCUAGUUGGUGUGGUAAGAGCGCACCAAGGCGACGAUCAGUAGCUGGUCUGAGAGGAUGAUCAGCCACACUGGGACUGAGACACGGCCCAGACUCCUACGGGAGGCAGCAGUGGGGAAUUUUCCGCAAUGGGCGAAAGCCUGACGGAGCAAUACCGCGUGAGGGAGGAAGGCUCUUGGGUUGUAAACCUCUUUUCUCAGGGAAUAAGAAAGUGAAGGUACCUGAGGAAUAAGCAUCGGCUAACUCCGUGCCAGCAGCCGCGGUAAUACGGAGGAUGCAAGCGUUAUCCGGAAUGAUUGGGCGUAAAGCGUCCGCAGGUGGCACUGUAAGUCUGCUGUUAAAGAGCAAGGCUCAACCUUGUAAAGGCAGUGGAAACUACAGAGCUAGAGUACGUUCGGGGCAGAGGGAAUUCCUGGUGUAGCGGUGAAAUGCGUAGAGAUCAGGAAGAACACCGGUGGCGAAAGCGCUCUGCUAGGCCGUCAACUG